AUUGAACGCUGGCGGCAGGCCUAACACAUGCAAGUCGAGCGGAUGAAGGGAGCUUGCUCCUGGAUUCAGCGGCGGACGGGCGAGUAAUGCCUAGGAAUCUGCCUGGUAGUGGGGGAUAACGUCCGGAAACGGGCGCUAAUACCGCAUACGUCCUGAGGGAGAAAGUGGGGGAUCUUCGGACCUCACGCUAUCAGAUGAGCCUAGGUCGGAUUAGCUAGUUGGUGGGGUAAAGGCCUACCAAGGCGACGAUCCGUAACUGGUCUGAGAGGAUGAUCAGUCACACUGGAACUGAGACACGGUCCAGACUCCUACGGGAGGCAGCAGUGGGGAAUAUUGGACCAUGGGCGAAAGCCUGAUCCAGCCAUGCCGCGUGGUUGAAGAAGGUCUUCGGAUUUUAAAGCACUUUAAGUUGGGAGGAAGGGCAGUAAGUUAAUACCUUGCUGUUUUGACGUUACCAACAGAAUAAGCACCGGCUAACUUCGUG
This 484-nucleotide ribosomal RNA is filed under the name uncultured bacterium. RNAcentral describes it as "partial 16S ribosomal RNA". It matches the Rfam family "Bacterial small subunit ribosomal RNA", at positions 30 to 507 of the family's 1533-position model. The record is from RNAcentral.